AAGUCGUAACAAGGUUUCCGUAGGUGAACCUGCGGAAGGAUCAUUAAAGAUUCGGGUCGCGAGAUCCAUCUUUUCUCCAGCUGUGCGCUUCGGCUGCACGCUGUUGAAAUCCAACCUUCACACCUGUGAACCUCUCGGUGGCGCUCUGCGCUUCCGCUUUACAUGUAACAACUUAAGUUUAGAAUGUUUUAAUACUAUAAAGUAACAACUCUCAACAACGGAUCUCUUGGCUCUC
RNAcentral lists this unclassified non-coding RNA (235 nucleotides) under Elmerina caryae. RNAcentral's name for it is "partial internal transcribed spacer region". The stretch from base 1 to 46 matches the Rfam family "Eukaryotic small subunit ribosomal RNA", at positions 1786 to 1831 of the family's 1831-position model. The record is from RNAcentral. Lineage: Eukaryota; Fungi; Basidiomycota; Agaricomycetes; Auriculariales; Aporpiaceae.